RNAcentral lists this ribosomal RNA (255 nucleotides) under uncultured bacterium. RNAcentral's name for it is "partial small subunit ribosomal RNA". It matches the Rfam family "Bacterial small subunit ribosomal RNA", at positions 26 to 285 of the family's 1533-position model. The record is from RNAcentral.
AGGACGAACGCUGGCGGCGUGCUUAACACAUGCAAGUCGAGCGGAAAGGCCCUUCGGGGUACUCGAGCGGCGAACGGGUGAGUAACACGUGAGCAACCUGCCCUUAGCUCUGGGAUAGCUCCGGGAAACCGGAAUUAGUACCGGAUAUUACACCGGCUGGCAUCGGCUGGUGUGGAAAGAUUUAUCGGCUAAGGAUGGACUCGCGGCCUAUCAGCUUGUUGGUGGGGUAGAAGCCUACCAAGGCGACGACGGGUA